Molecule: ribosomal RNA, 253 nt
Filed under: uncultured bacterium
Lineage: Bacteria
Description: partial 16S ribosomal RNA
Rfam family: Bacterial small subunit ribosomal RNA
Source: RNAcentral
UACGAAGGGGGCUAGCGUUGUUCGGAAUCACUGGGCGUAAAGCGCGCGUAGGCGGGUCGUUAAGUCAGGGGUGAAAUGCCGAGGCUCAACCUCGGAACUGCCUUUGAUACUGGCGAUCUCGAGUCCGGGAGAGGUGAGUGGAACUGCGAGUGUAGAGGUGAAAUUCGUAGAUAUUCGCAAGAACACCAGUGGCGAAGGCGGCUCACUGGCCCGGUACUGACGCUGAGGUGCGAAAGCGUGGGGAGCAAACAGG